RNAcentral lists this ribosomal RNA (465 nucleotides) under Vreelandella stevensii. RNAcentral's name for it is "partial 16S ribosomal RNA". It matches the Rfam family "Bacterial small subunit ribosomal RNA", at positions 338 to 795 of the family's 1533-position model. Lineage: Bacteria; Pseudomonadati; Pseudomonadota; Gammaproteobacteria; Oceanospirillales; Halomonadaceae. The record is from RNAcentral.
CCUACGGGGGGCAGCAGUGGGGAAUAUUGGACAAUGGGGGGAACCCUGAUCCAGCCAUGCCGCGUGUGUGAAGAAGGCCCUCGGGUUGUAAAGCACUUUCAGUGAGGAAGAACGCCUGGUGGUUAAUACCCAUCAGGAAAGACAUCACUCACAGAAGAAGCACCGGCUAACUCCGUGCCAGCAGCCGCGGUAAUACGGAGGGUGCGAGCGUUAAUCGGAAUUACUGGGCGUAAAGCGCGCGUAGGUGGCUUGAUAAGCCGGUUGUGAAAGCCCCGGGCUCAACCUGGGAACGGCAUCCGGAACUGUCAAGCUAGAGUGCAGGAGAGGAAGGUAGAAUUCCAGGUGUAGCGGUGAAAUGCGUAGAGAUCGGGAGGAAUACCAGUGGCGAAGGCGGCCUUCUGGACUGACACUGACACUGAGGUGCGAAAGCGUGGGUAGCAAACAGGAUUAGAUACCCUGGUAGUC